CCUACGGGGGGCAGCAGUGGGGGAUAUUGCACAAUGGGGGAAACCCUGAUGCAGCGACGCCGCGUGGGUGAAGAAGCUCCUCGGCGCGUAAAGCCCUGUCAGCAGGGAAGAAAAUGACGGUAUCUGAAGAAUAAGCCCCGGCUAACUCCGUGCCAGCAGCCGCGGUAAUACGUAGGGGGCAAGCGUUAUCCGGAUUUACUGGGCGUAAAGGGGGCGCAGACGGCGGAGCAAGCCAGAAGUGAAAGCCCGGGGCUCAACCCCGGGACUGCUCUUGAAACUGGGUGGCUGGAGUGCGGGAGGGGUAGGCGGAAUUCUUGGUGUAGCGGUGAAAUGCGUAGAGAUCAGGAGGAAUAC
This 354-nucleotide ribosomal RNA is filed under the name uncultured bacterium. Its description in RNAcentral is "partial 16S ribosomal RNA". It matches the Rfam family "Bacterial small subunit ribosomal RNA", at positions 338 to 709 of the family's 1533-position model. The record is from RNAcentral.